RNAcentral lists this ribosomal RNA (681 nucleotides) under uncultured fungus. RNAcentral describes it as "eukaryotic LSU rRNA". It matches the Rfam family "Eukaryotic large subunit ribosomal RNA", at positions 24 to 664 of the family's 3401-position model. Lineage: Eukaryota; Fungi. The record is from RNAcentral.
CCCGCUGAACUUAAGCAUAUCAAUAAGCGGAGGAAAAGAAACUAACAAGGAUUCCCCUAGUAACUGCGAGUGAAGCGGGAAAAGCUCAAAUUUGAAAUCUGGCGUCUCCGGCGUCCGAGUUGUAUUCUGGAGAAGCGUUUUCCGUGCUGGACCGUGUACAAGUCCCUUGGAACAGGGCGUCAUAGAGGGUGAGAAUCCCGUCUUUGACACGGACUGCCAGUGCUCUGCGAUGCGCUCUCGAAGAGUCGAGUUGUUUGGGAAUGCAGCUCANAACGGGUGGUAAAUUCCAUCUAAAGCUAAAUAUUGGCGAGAGACCGAUAGCGAACAAGUACCGUGAGGGAAAGAUGAAAGCACUUUGGAAAGAGAGUGAACAGUACGUGAAAUUGUUNGAAGGGAACGCUCGUAGUCAGUCGCGUCUUCUGGAACUCAGCUGGCUUCUGCUCGGUGCACUUUCCAGUUCGACGGGUCAGCAUCGGUUUCGGUGGAGCAGACAAAGGCGGAGGGAAGGUGGCCGCUCCGGCGGUGUUAUAGCCCUCCGUUGUACGUGUCCCCCGGGACUGAGGAAUCCGGCGUAAGCCUGGGACGCUGGCGUAAUGGCUUUAAGCGACCCGUCGUGAGACACGGAAGCGGCGAAUUCAGCGGCCGUCUAAAUUACAAUCCGACCCCUUUACGGAGGUCCCC